This 503-nucleotide ribosomal RNA is filed under the name Prosymna sundevalli. Its description in RNAcentral is "partial large subunit ribosomal RNA". It matches the Rfam family "Bacterial large subunit ribosomal RNA", at positions 1816 to 2597 of the family's 2925-position model. The record is from RNAcentral. Lineage: Eukaryota; Metazoa; Chordata; Lepidosauria; Squamata; Prosymnidae.
AACCUUUAGCCAAACAAGCAUUAAAGGCAACACCUGCCCAGUGAACAAUUAAACGGCCGCGGUACCCUAACCGUGCAAAGGUAGCAUAAUCAUUUGUCUAUUAAUUGUAGACCUGUAUGAAAGGUAGAAUGAGGAUCCAACUGUCUCUUAUAAUAAAUCAAUUAAACUGAUCUCCCAGUACAAAAGCUGGAAUAAACACACAAGACCAGAAGACCCUGUGAAGCUUAAACUAAUAUAUUAAACCCUAUAAUACUUACUUUCGGUUGGGGCGACCUUGGAAAAUAAAAGAACUUCCAACGAUAUGGCUAUACACCAUACACAGACCGACAGGUCAAACAGACCCAGUAUAACUGAUAAUUGAACCAAGUUACUCCAGGGAUAACAGCGCCAUCUUCUUCAAGAGCCCAUAUCAAAAAGAAGGUUUACGACCUCGAUGUUGGAUCAGGACAUCCCAAUGGUGCAGCAGCUAUUAAGGGUUCGUUUGUUCAACGAUUAACAGUCCU